Molecule: transfer RNA, 75 nt
Filed under: Ursus thibetanus (Asiatic black bear)
Lineage: Eukaryota; Metazoa; Chordata; Mammalia; Carnivora; Ursidae
Also listed under: 3 other names
Description: tRNA-Leu
Rfam family: tRNA
About the family: Transfer RNA (tRNA) molecules are approximately 80 nucleotides in length. Their secondary structure includes four short double-helical elements and three loops (D, anti-codon, and T loops).
Source: RNAcentral
GUUAGGGUGGCAGAGCCCGGUGAUUGCAUAAAACUUAAACCUUUAUAUUCAGGGGUUCAAAUCCUCUCCCUAACA